UUGCCCAAUGAUUAUAGCAAGACGCGUUAUUACGAGGACAAAUGCUGGAACUCUGCUUCCCCUCCUCCUCCUCCUCCUCCUUUUUCUUCCUUGUCCCUUUUCCACUUUCACUUUAACUCUCCAUUCUUGGGUGUCCAGUGUCCUGUGAGCAAGAUUAUGAGAUAUGAGGGCAA
Pelodiscus sinensis (Chinese soft-shelled turtle) is the source of this 173-nucleotide small nucleolar RNA. Ensembl annotates it as small nucleolar RNA SNORD97. NCBI's taxonomy places the organism in Eukaryota, Metazoa, Chordata, Testudines, Trionychidae. The record is from Ensembl.